UCCCACAUCCGCUGCCGGUACCGGAGCUGCCGACAUUCCUGAGCCUCUCGUGAUCCGGGAACACACUUGCCAGGAUCCUCCUGUCCAGCUGGAACGCCACUUCCCCUACGAGCUCCCUCCAUGUGGGAUUCCGGGUCCCUGUGCCCCAUAGGUGGGUUAACCCCAAUGUCCAUCAGGUACCAGCUCUAUGGCCCUGAACCCCCAUAUGUGGGUUAACCCCAAUCACCCCCAUCAGGUACUGGCUCUAUGUCCCUAACCCCAUAUAUGGGUUAACCCCAUUGUCCAUCAGGUACCGGCUCUAUGACCCUGAACCCCAUAUGUGGGUUAACCCCAUUGUCCAUCACCCCCAUCAGGUACCGGAUCUAUGGCCCAAACCCCAUAUGUGGGUUAACCCCAUUGUCCAUCAGGUACCGGAUCUAUGGCCUUAACCCCAUAUAUGGGUUAACCCCAUUGUCCAUCAGGUACUGGCUCUAUGGCCCUGAACCCCCAUAUAUGGGUUAACCCCAUUGUCCAUCACCCCCAUCAGGUACCGGAUCCAUGACCCUGAACCCCAUAUGUGGGUUAACCCCAAUCCCAUCACCCCCAUCAGGUACCGGCUCUAUAGCCCUGAACCCCCAUAUAUGGGUUAACCCCAUUGUCCAUCAGGUACCGGCUCUAUGGCCCAAACCCCAUAUGUGUUUAACCCCAUUGUCCAUCAUGUACUGGCUCUAUGUCCCUAACCCCCAUUGGCUCUCACCAGGUGACCCCGGUCUCGGCUCCGGCUCCGUCACCUCCAUGUCCGGUUGUUGUUGUACAGCCGGAGCCUCCGGUGGGGUCGGGGCCGGGGGGGUCACCGGAGGUCGCGGCCACAGCUCCGACAGCCUCAAGGUCCCAGUGCUGAGCUCCAGACCAGAGGAACCGGAACUGGUGUUGAACCGGUUGAUGGGGCAGGACAGGCGGAGGCUGCUGGAGACUGGGGCACCGCCGCUGCUCAGGUCACUGUUCACGGCACUGGCUCCGGUGCUGUCGGUGCCGGUGGAGGCCAAUGGGGGUGGAGCAAAAGUCCCAUCCUGGGACCGCAGGUUGAGGUCCCAUGGGGAGCUCUGCUGGAGAGGAGGCAGCUCCGGAGCUGUGGUCAUGUGGUUAGAGUUAGGGUUAGGAUUAGGGUUAGGGUAACCCUAACCCUAAUGGCACAACCAUAACCCCUGUGCCAACAUCACCAUAACCCCCAUGCCAACACCACCACAAUCCCUGUGCCAACAUAACCACAACCCCUGUGCCACCACCACCACCAUAACCUCUAUGGCACCAUCACCAUUACCCCUGUGCCACCAUCACCAUAACCCCUGUGCCACUACCACAACCAUAACCUCUAUGGCACCAUCACCAUUACCCCUGUGCCACCAUCACCAUAACCCCUGUGCCACCACCACCACCAUAACCUCUAUGCCACCACCACCAUAACCCCUGUGCCACCAUCACCAUAACCCUUAUGCCACCAUCACCAUAACCCCUGUGCCACCAUCACCAUAACCCCUGUGCCACCAUCACCAUAACCCCUGUGCCACCACCACCAUCACCAUAACCCCCAUGCCAACACCACCACCACCACAACCCUUAUGCCACCACCAUAACCCCUGUACCACCACCACCAUAACCAUAUCCCCUAUACCACCACCAUAACCCCCUACCAGAGAACGGAAAGUAUCCGGUGUUGGCGCCCAGCGGCGGUGCCGAUCCCGGCACACUGCGUUGGCCCUGCCGGCCCUGCCGCUGCUCCUGCAGCCUCCCCACGGCUCUUGCCAGCUCCUCAUUCUCUGCCAGCAGGGCCUGGAUCUCCCGGCGCAGCCGGUCAUAGCAGGCCAGCACCGUGAGCCCUGCGCGCUGCACCGGCUCCAUGGCUCUGCCUGUUGGUGACUAUGGUGGCACCAGAACCAGAUGGAACCUGGGGGGGCAGGGACACGGGUUCUAUGGUGAUGUCAUAAAGGGGAUGGUGCCACCAUGGCCUAUGGUGGAUGCUGUGCUUGGCAUUGCCAUAGAGCUGUGCUUUGGUGAGCACUGGUUCUAUGGUGAUGCCAUAAAGGGGAUGGUGCCACAUCAUGCUGUGGUUGGCAUUGCCAUAGAGCUGUGUUCUGGUGAGCACUGGUUCUAUGGUGAGCACUGGUUCUAUGGUGAUGCCAUAAAGGGGAUGUUGUCACCAUCACCCAUGGUUGAUGCUGUGGUUGGCAUUGCCAUGGAGCUGUGUUCUGGUGAGCACUGGUUCUAUGGUGAUGCCAUAAAGGGGACGGUGUCACCAUCACCCAUGGAUGCUGUGGUUGGCAUUGCCAUAGAGCUGUGCUAUGGUGAGCACUGGUUCUAUGGUGAUGCCAUAAAGGGGUCAUUGCCACCAUGACCCAUGGAUGCUGUGGUUGGCAUUGCCAUGGAGCUGUGUUCUGGUGAGCACUGGU
Long non-coding RNA from Melopsittacus undulatus (budgerigar), 2426 nucleotides. NCBI's taxonomy places the organism in Eukaryota, Metazoa, Chordata, Aves, Psittaciformes, Psittaculidae. The record is from Ensembl.